AAAGAAAAAAAAUAACAUCAAUAACUUUUAGAAAUAACAAAAAGUCAUUGCAUAAUUUAGGCAAACAAUGAUUGGAGAGCAUUUUGAAGUGGAACGUGAAGCGAAACAAAGUGGAGAAGUUAUAGACUGGAAAGAAGCACAAGUGAUGAAGAAGCAGGUGAAGUGAAGCAAAACUUGGCAUAUCCUCAAAUGUGCCACAAUUUAAACAAUUUCAUGACACUUGAAGUCAAUUUUUCAUGUUUCCCUUUGUUACUUCUGAGCUGGACUACUUUGAGCCGCACGUUUGACACCAAAUCCACAUAAGCCCAGGUUACAACUGCAACACAUUACUAAAAGCGACAAAGUAAAGAAACCGAAACAAUGGCAACCACAUCCAAACUAAAUAAACGCCAACGCGAGCAUCGCUGAAUAUGGGAGGGCACCUGCUACCGCCGAGUGAGACCCAUAGGCUUCAGUGGGUGAAGUCAAUUUUAAACCGCUGCAUGUAUAUUGGGUUGUGUGAAGAGUUACAACAACAACUAUAAAACAAUUGCGGUACUUAAUUUGUUGAAUAGCGUCAUUGUGUACGAGACUUCAAGUGCAUAAUGACACAGUCAUCAGCAGUCACACAUUUGAAUGGGGCAGUGGAAUAAAGAACAAAAAAAACUGGAGAAACAGAAAAGAAAAGACGGAACCGCAUGUGACACGCAAAUCACAAAUAGUUACAUACAAAUAUAUUUGAGAAUGUGAAAGUAAGAGGAGCCAGCGGAAAAGCCUGCGCAGACCAUCAGUGGUUGCAAUGAAGUUGUCACCGGUAAAACACUUGGUAUUUCCUUCCUGUCACUCCGCUAUUGCCAUCCGUCUUGCGAAGCGUUAUCACAAUGAUGCAUACUUAGUACGACAAAGACUCUCUGUGGAUUUACAGCUUACGAUAAUUUACUUACGUUUAUAUAUGGUAUGUAUACGUGCACCACAUACACACAUGCCAACAACUCACUCACAGUGCAAAGAGGCUCGCAUGACGAUGAAUAAAAUGUAAAAUGUCAGCAUGUCAAUUGCGCAUGUAACGUCUGACGUUUCAAAAGAAAGCGUUAUGACUUUUUUAUAAAGUAGGUAGACCUUUUCUUUCAUUCAACUUUCGUUUUUUUUACAUUCAGAGUCAAAUAGCAACAUUAAAACACUGCGAACAAUGGCAACAGAAACAGUAAAAUUGCUGAAUCAUAUUUUUAUCAACAAAUUACCAGUGCAACAAGAGCGUAAGUGACAUCGAAAAUUCCGAGAGUGACGUGUCAACAAAACGUACUUAUUUCGCAAAACGAUGAAAGAACAAACAAAACAGUUGGAUUUUCGUUUUUAAAAAUGCCACCAAGCAGACGUACAAACUUAGGUCGCAGAACUCGAAAUACUACAAGUCAAAUAUAUAUAAGAUCAAAUCAAACUAAUAAGCAACGCGAAGCGCGAAAUGAAGUGUUAGCUACAAUAUUUAUAACUUAUGAACGGCUUAACUGAUUUGGCUUUAAGUUGGUGAGGAGAUAGCAUAGAAUCGUCAAUUUUAAAUAAUUCGCUACUGUUGUUAAUGUGAAUGAAAACGUCAAUUAUCUAGAUAUACUCCGAAUGAGAUCACAUAAUCUUUGGUUGAAAAUUAUUCAGAGCUAUUUCAAUUCACCUCAAUUAUGCAACGGUUCAGCUAUGAUAAUCAAAAGGAUUACAAGAAAUAUUAUAAUAGCAACUAAUUUGACUGGAAAAUUUAAUGGAGAAAUAGCCCUCUUGCCACGUUUUCCAAUGAUGCUGUCAGAACGUACGAUACAAAUAGAGCUUAAUUAAUUGAAUUUGAAAAUGUUUAUAAUUAAAAACUAUAAAUAUUAUUGUUAAAAUUUAAGAACGAUCAACCUCUUUCAUUAUUUCAAACGUUAUCUACUAACAACUUUGAAAAUUACUCAUUUGUUUCUUACUUGAAUAUAAAAUUAAUACAAUAAAAAAAAACAUAUUA
Non-coding RNA from Bactrocera oleae (olive fruit fly), 1969 nucleotides. NCBI's taxonomy places the organism in Eukaryota, Metazoa, Arthropoda, Insecta, Diptera, Tephritidae. The record is from RefSeq and is a predicted model, not a curated record.